UCGUUCUUGUGUUAUUCACUAAAUUUUAACAUCUUGUUUAGUGAUUGUCAAACAGAACGUAGAGUAUACACCAAAGCGGACUACUCCACAAUGCAGAGUCCAACUUAACCCAGGACUUCUUCAUUACAAAUCACCGCUUACAUCAUUA
This is a small nucleolar RNA of Drosophila busckii, 148 nucleotides long. It matches the Rfam family "Small nucleolar RNA psi18S-1377". From Rfam's summary of the family: psi18S-1377 is a member of the H/ACA class of snoRNA. This family is responsible for guiding the modification of uridines 1377 and 1279 to pseudouridine in Drosophila 18S rRNA. Lineage: Eukaryota; Metazoa; Arthropoda; Insecta; Diptera; Drosophilidae. The record is from Rfam.